Non-coding RNA from Theobroma cacao (cacao), 603 nucleotides. NCBI's taxonomy places the organism in Eukaryota, Viridiplantae, Streptophyta, Magnoliopsida, Malvales, Malvaceae. The record is from RefSeq and is a predicted model, not a curated record.
CAUUCUUGAAGCUUGCAACGCCAUUCUCUCAUUCUCCCAUGGAAAAUUAAUUUUCUUUCAUUUUCUUUCCUUGUUUUCUUUUCAUUUCUUUUCUCUUCUUGCUUUAUUCUUCUCCCAACUUUAUGUGCACCAAAGUUAUAACUUCUAACCCUAAUUUUCAGCACAUAUAAACUCUAGGAGAAGAAGAAAGAAAAAGAGAGAAAGGAAAAAAAAGCUUGGUUUUGGUGAUUCAAGCAAGGAAUGGAAGUGCAAAGAUAAAGUUAAAGUAUUAUAGGGGCGUGCCGGAAUAAAUAACGAGCGACCAGCCAGUGAAAAUAAUUAAAGACACCUCCGAACAAAUAGCAACUUAAUAUCUCAUUAUUGCUAGGUGAUUGGAUCCAAGGACGAGGUGCUCCUCCCUGUACAUUGCUCGGUAGGUUUAAUGUGACACUAAGUAUUAUCAAUCGUGCCCAGAGUCACUCCGCUGAUGGUCAAGGUCUAAUUAAAUGUAUGUGAAUAUUUAAUGUGAACAUUAAGAAUCAUUGUUAAUCUAUUAAUGAAUAUAUUGGUGGAUGAUGCCAUUAUGAAUGUAUGAUUAGGUUUUAUGAAUCGUUUUCAAAGAAA